Molecule: ribosomal RNA, 119 nt
Filed under: Aegilops tauschii subsp. strangulata
Lineage: Eukaryota; Viridiplantae; Streptophyta; Magnoliopsida; Poales; Poaceae
Source: RNAcentral
GGAUGUGAUCAUACCAGCACUAGAGCACCGGAUCCCAUCAGAACUCCAAAGUUAAGCGUGCUUGGGUGAGAGUAGUACUAGGAUGGGUGACCUCCUGGGAAGUCCUCGUGUUGCAUCCC